UGUCCCUGCUCCUUGCACACACCGCCCGUCAAACCAACCGAGUGGAUCUCGGACGAGGCCGUCUCAUAAGGGAUGGUCAAGUUCAAGGUUCGCAAGGGGGGUU
RNAcentral lists this ribosomal RNA (103 nucleotides) under uncultured bacterium. RNAcentral describes it as "partial 16S ribosomal RNA". It matches the Rfam family "Archaeal small subunit ribosomal RNA", at positions 1325 to 1429 of the family's 1478-position model. The record is from RNAcentral.